This 318-nucleotide ribosomal RNA is filed under the name Campylobacter upsaliensis. RNAcentral describes it as "bacterial SSU rRNA". It matches the Rfam family "Bacterial small subunit ribosomal RNA", at positions 1213 to 1533 of the family's 1533-position model. Lineage: Bacteria; Pseudomonadati; Campylobacterota; Epsilonproteobacteria; Campylobacterales; Campylobacteraceae. The record is from RNAcentral.
GCGACACACGUGCUACAAUGGCAUAUACAAUGAGACGCAAUACCGCGAGGUGGAGCAAAUCUAUAAAAUAUGUCCCAGUUCGGAUUGUUCUCUGCAACUCGAGAGCAUGAAGCCGGAAUCGCUAGUAAUCGCAAAUCAGCCAUGUUGCGGUGAAUACGUUCCCGGGUCUUGUACUCACCGCCCGUCACACCAUGGGAGUUGAUUUCACUCGAAGUGGAAAUACUAAACUAGUUAUCCCCCACAGUGGAAUCAGCGACUGGGGUGAAGUCGUAACAAGGUAACCGUAGGAGAACCUGCGGUUGGAUCACCUCCUUUCUA